GACGUAGGGGGCCAGCGUUGUUCGGAAUUACUGGGUGUAAAGGGUUCGUAGGCGGUGCGGCAAGUUGGGAGUGAAAUCUCUGGGCUUAACCCAGAGGCUGCUUCCAAAACUGCUGUGCUUGAGUGUGGGAGAGGCGCGUGGAAUUGCAGGUGUAGCGGUGAAAUGCGUAGAGAUCGGCAGGAGCACCCAGGGGGAAACCAGUCGACUGGGCAUCUACUGACGCUGAGGUGCGAGAGCGUGGGGAGCGAACCGG
RNAcentral lists this ribosomal RNA (253 nucleotides) under uncultured bacterium. Its description in RNAcentral is "partial 16S ribosomal RNA". It matches the Rfam family "Bacterial small subunit ribosomal RNA", at positions 524 to 776 of the family's 1533-position model. The record is from RNAcentral.